Molecule: ribosomal RNA, 403 nt
Filed under: uncultured bacterium
Lineage: Bacteria
Description: partial 16S ribosomal RNA
Rfam family: Bacterial small subunit ribosomal RNA
Source: RNAcentral
AUUGAACGCUGGCGGCAGGCCUAACACAUGCAAGUCGAGCGAGCGGCGGACGGGUGAGUAAUGUAUGGGGACUGCCUGAGGGAGGGGGAUAACUACUGGAAACGGUGGCUAAUACCGCAUACUAUCGGAUAACCCAUAUGGGAUUAGCUAGUCGGUGGGGUAAAGGCUCACCUAGGCGACGAUCUCUAGCUGGUCUGUGAGGAGGAUCAGCCACACGGGGACUGAGAAACGGCCCAGACUCCAACGGAGGCAGCAGUGGGGAAUAUUGCACAAUGGGCGCAAGCCUGAUGCAGCCAUGCCGCGUGGAUGAAGAAGGUCUUAGGGUUUUAAAGUACUUUCAGCGGGGAGGCGUUACCCGCAGAAGAAGCACCGGCUAACUCCGUGCCAGCAGCCGCGGUAAUUC